This 223-nucleotide unclassified non-coding RNA is filed under the name Hevea brasiliensis (rubber tree). Lineage: Eukaryota; Viridiplantae; Streptophyta; Magnoliopsida; Malpighiales; Euphorbiaceae. The record is from RNAcentral.
GGUGAUUUUCUCAACAACGGCUUCACUAACAUUAUCAUCAGUAAUGGUAUCUUCAUGAAGAAAUUUAAGAAGAAAUUUGAAAAAGUGUGGUGCGUUUUCUUCUGUAUUUGGCAACUAGAAGAGGAUGAAGAUGGCGAUUCAUUAUUUGGUGCUUAAAAAGUAUUAUCAUGUUCAAGUAUUCAUGUUGAGUUACAACCAUAAUAAGAACCUUCAACUUUUACCU